RNAcentral lists this ribosomal RNA (465 nucleotides) under uncultured bacterium. RNAcentral's name for it is "bacterial SSU rRNA". It matches the Rfam family "Bacterial small subunit ribosomal RNA", at positions 39 to 518 of the family's 1533-position model. The record is from RNAcentral.
UGCGGCACGCUUAACACAUGCAAGUCGAACGGAGAUAUUUGGUUUACUGAGAUAUCUUAGUGGCGGACGGGUGAGUAACACGUGAGCAACCUGCCUUUGAGAGAGGGAUAGCUUCUGGAAACGGAUGGUAAUACCUCAUGACAUACUUUUAUCGCAUGGUAGAAGUAUCAAAGAUUUAUCACUCAGAGAUGGGCUCGCGUCUGAUUAGCUAGUUGGUGAGGUAACGGCUCACCAAGGCGACGAUCAGUAGCCGGACUGAGAGGUUGAACGGCCACAUUGGGACUGAGACACGGCCCAGACUCCUACGGGAGGCAGCAGUGGGGAAUAUUGCACAAUGGGGGAAACCCUGAAUGCAGCGAUGCCGCGUGGAGGAAGAAGGUUUUCGGAUUGUAAACUCCUGUCUUAAAGGACGAUAAUGACGGUACUUUAGGAGGAAGCUCCGGCUAACUACGUGCCAGCAGCUGC